ACGAGUGCGCUCAGGGUGUGCUGCACGUGAGCAGUGAAGUUGAUUCCACACACUGCCCUGCUCGGCAGCUGUCCCAGAACUGACCACGGACCCCUCCGCGGGUCCUGCUGCUGACAAGGGCCUUCCGGUACUGGGAGUUUUGUGUUAGUGGAAAGGAAGAAUCUAAUAAUACCACCACCUUUACAGUAAAGACGCUGCGAAUUGACACCUUUUAUAAUAAAGACACUUAUCUUGCCCAAGAGCUGGGCAGGCUGAUUGGCGCUGGUUUCCAUCUGUCAGAUUGGAUAGCAGUACCACUGGCUGUUGGGGGCUCACGACCAGAUAGAGUCUUGUCUGGGAACCACAAGUGAGUGUUGUUACCACAGCUCUGCAGCAGUGAGGGCACCUCUCAAUCCACGUGCAGUCGCCCCACCUUAUCUUCAGGGGAUACGGUCCAACACCCUCAAUGGAUGCCUGAAAUCAAGGAUAGUAGUGAACACUAUAUACACUGUUUUCUUAUGCAUCCAUCCAUAUCUACGAUAA
This 522-nucleotide long non-coding RNA is filed under the name Pan troglodytes (chimpanzee). Its description in RNAcentral is "long non-coding RNA NONPTRT003748". Lineage: Eukaryota; Metazoa; Chordata; Mammalia; Primates; Hominidae. The record is from RNAcentral.